GGAUUACCCCUUUGAGCUUUCGCGCUGUGUUGAUAAAGUUUCGCAUCUCUAUCAAAUCGGAUAAUCCCACCCGCAAGACUCUGCUGUCAGAUCAAGUCUGAACUACAGCAGAUAAAGUUCAUUAGUCUCACUUCUUGCUUAUUUAUUGUAAAUUUCUUAAUAUUUCCGCUCCGAUGGUAAUAUCAGUUG
This 189-nucleotide small RNA is filed under the name Nitrosomonas sp. AL212. RNAcentral describes it as "Proteobacterial sRNA psRNA2". It matches the Rfam family "Proteobacterial sRNA psRNA2". Lineage: Bacteria; Pseudomonadati; Pseudomonadota; Betaproteobacteria; Nitrosomonadales; Nitrosomonadaceae. The record is from Rfam by way of RNAcentral.